RNAcentral lists this ribosomal RNA (441 nucleotides) under uncultured Alphaproteobacteria bacterium. Its description in RNAcentral is "bacterial SSU rRNA". It matches the Rfam family "Bacterial small subunit ribosomal RNA", at positions 335 to 793 of the family's 1533-position model. Lineage: Bacteria; Pseudomonadati; Pseudomonadota; Alphaproteobacteria. The record is from RNAcentral.
ACUCCUACGGGAGGCAGCAGUGGGGAAUAUUGGACAAUGGGCGCAAGCCUGAUCCAGCAAUGCCGCGUGAGUGAUGAAGGCCUUCGGGUUGUAAAGCUCUUUCGCACGCGACGAUGAUGACGGUAGCGUGAGAAGAAGCCCCGGCUAACUUCGUGCCAGCAGCCGCGGUAAUACGAAGGGGGCGAGCGUUGUUCGGAAUUACUGGGCGUAAAGGGCGCGUAGGCGGUGUGUCAAGUCAGGCGUGAAAGCCCCGGGCUCAACCUGGGAACAGCGCUUGAGACUGGCACGCUCGAGUUCGGGAGAGGAUGGUGGAAUUCCCAGUGUAGAGGUGAAAUUCGUAGAUAUUGGGAAGAACACCGAUGGCGAAGGCAGCCAUCUGGACCGACACUGACGCUGAGGCGCGAAAGCGUGGGGAGCAAACAGGAUUAGAUACCCUGGUAG